Long non-coding RNA from Gymnogyps californianus (California condor), 149 nucleotides. RefSeq lists it as uncharacterized. The transcript is spliced from 3 exons. NCBI's taxonomy places the organism in Eukaryota, Metazoa, Chordata, Aves, Accipitriformes, Cathartidae. The record is from RefSeq and is a predicted model, not a curated record.
AGGCACCGUGCGGGCUGCCUUUGGAAUUGGACGUGCAGUUGUGGUGCCACAAGCGAUGAUGGCCGCAGCGUACGACUCUGGAACGAGCAGAUGACGAAGAGGAACAUGGUGACUGUAGGAACCUCCCAGUUAGCUGAUAUGGGUGUGGC